UGCAAGUCGAGCGGUAGCACAGAGAGCUUGCUCUCGGGUGACGAGCGGCGGACGGGUGAGUAAUGUCUGGGAAACUGCCUGAUGGAGGGGGAUAACUACUGGAAACGGUAGCUAAUACCGCAUAAUGUCGCAAGACCAAAGUGGGGGACCUUCGGGCCUCAUGCCAUCAGAUGUGCCCAGAUGGGAUUAGCUAGUAGGUGGGGUAACGGCUCACCUAGGCGACGAUCCCUAGCUGGUCUGAGAGGAUGACCAGCCACACUGGAACUGAGACACGGUCCAGACUCCUACGGGAGGCAGCAGUGGGGAAUAUUGCACAAUGGGCGCAAGCCUGAUGCAGCCAUGCCGCGUGUGUGAAGAAGGCCUUCGGGUUGUAAAGCACUUUCAGCGGGGAGGAAGGCGAUAAGGUUAAUAACCUUGUCGAUUGACGUUACCCGCAGAAGAAGCACCGGCUAACUCCGUGCCAGCAGCCGCGGUAAUACGGAGGGUGCAAGCGUUAAUCGGAAUUACUGGGCGUAAAGCGCACGCAGGCGGUCUGUCAAGUCGGAUGUGAAAUCCCCGGGCUCAACCUGGGAACUGCAUUCGAAACUGGCAGGCUAGAGUCUUGUAGAGGGGGGUAGAAUUCCAGGUGUAGCGGUGAAAUGCGUAGAGAUCUGGAGGAAUACCGGUGGCGAAGGCGGCCCCCUGGACAAAGACUGACGCUCAGGUGCGAAAGCGUGGGGAGCAAACAGGAUUAGAUACCCUGGUAGUCCACGCCGUAAACGAUGUCGAUUUGGAGGUUGUGCCCUUGAGGCGUGGCUUCCGGAGCUAACGCGUUAAAUCGACCGCCUGGGGAGUACGGCCGCAAGGUUAAAACUCAAAUGAAUUGACGGGGGCCCGCACAAGCGGUGGAGCAUGUGGUUUAAUUCGAUGCAACGCGAAGAACCUUACCUGGUCUUGACAUCCACAGAACUUUCCAGAGAUGGAUUGGUGCCUUCGGGAACUGUGAGACAGGUGCUGCAUGGCUGUCGUCAGCUCGUGUUGUGAAAUGUUGGGUUAAGUCCCGCAACGAGCGCAACCCUUAUCCUUUGUUGCCAGCGGUUCGGCCGGGAACUCAAAGGAGACUGCCAGUGAUAAACUGGAGGAAGGUGGGGAUGACGUCAAGUCAUCAUGGCCCUUACGACCAGGGCUACACACGUGCUACAAUGGCAUAUACAAAGAGAAGCGACCUCGCGAGAGCAAGCGGACCUCAUAAAGUAUGUCGUAGUCCGGAUUGGAGUCUGCAACUCGACUCCAUGAAGUCGGAAUCGCUAGUAAUCGUAGAUCAGAAUGCUACGGUGAAUACGUUCCCGGGCCUUGUACACACCGCCCGUCACACCAUGGGAGUGGGUUGCAAAAGAAGUAGGUAGCUUAACCUUCGGGAGGGCGC
This 1405-nucleotide ribosomal RNA is filed under the name Klebsiella pneumoniae. Its description in RNAcentral is "bacterial SSU rRNA". It matches the Rfam family "Bacterial small subunit ribosomal RNA". The record is from RNAcentral. Lineage: Bacteria; Pseudomonadati; Pseudomonadota; Gammaproteobacteria; Enterobacterales; Enterobacteriaceae.